This 908-nucleotide ribosomal RNA is filed under the name uncultured bacterium. RNAcentral's name for it is "bacterial SSU rRNA". It matches the Rfam family "Bacterial small subunit ribosomal RNA", at positions 8 to 922 of the family's 1533-position model. The record is from RNAcentral.
AGAGUUUGAUCCUGGCUCAGAAUCAACGCUGGCGGCGUGCCUGACACAUGCAAGUCGAACGGGUGCCAGUUGCCCGCAAGGGUGGCUGGCGCUAGUGGCGGACGGGUGAGUAACACGUGGGCAACCUGCCCAAGAGUGUGGGAUAACCCUGCGAAAGCAGAGCUAAUACCGCAUGUGGCUGCCGGAAGGCAUCUUCCGGCAACUAAAGUCGCAAGACGCUCUUGGAUGGGCCCGCGGCCUAUUAGCUAGUUGGUGAGGUAACGGCCCACCAAGGCUGUGAUGGGUAGCUGGUCUGAGAGGACGAUCAGCCACACUGGGACUGAGACACGGCCCAGACUCCUACGGGAGGCAGCAGUGAGGAAUUUUCCGCAAUGGGCGAAAGCCUGACGGAGCAACGCCGCGUGAGGGAUGAAGUCUCUAGGGAUGUAAACCUCUGUUGGGAGGGACGAAGAUCUGACGGUACCUCCUGAGGAAGCCCCGGCUAACUACGUGCCAGCAGCCGCGGUAAUACGUAGGGGGCGAGCGUUAUCCGGGUUUACUGGGCGUAAAGAGCGCGUAGGCGGCUCCGCAAGUUGGUUGUGAAAGUUCGAGGCUCAACCUCGAAACUGCGUCCAAAACUGCGGGGCUCGAGUGCAAGAGAGGCAAGUGGAAUUCCCGGUGUAGUAGUGAAAUGCGUAGAUAUCGGGAGGAACACCAGUGGCGAANGCGGCUUGCUAGCUUGCAACUGACGCUGANGCGCGAAAGCUAGGGGAGCGAACGGGAUUAGAUACCCCGGUAGUCCUAGCCUUAGACGAUGCUCACUAGGUGUCGGUGGUAUUGACGCCAUCGGUGCCGUAGCCAACGCAUUAAGUGAGCCGCCUGGGGAGUACGGCCGCAAGGUUGAAACUCAAAUGAAUUGACGGGAAGGG